AGAGUUUGAUCCUGGCUCAGGAUGAACGCUAGCGGCAGGCUUAACACAUGCAAGUCGAGGGGCAGCGGGUGUAGCAAUACAUGCCGGCGACCGGCGCAAGGGUGCGUAACGCGUGAGCAAUCUGCCCGUAUCAGGGGGAUAAGCGAUGGAAACGCCGUCUAAUACCGCAUAACACCAAUGAUGGCAUCAUCGAUGGUUGAAAGCUUCGGUGGAUACGGAUGAGCUCGCGAGACAUUAGUUAGUUGGCGGGGUAACGGCCCACCAAGACCGCGAUGUCUAGGGGAACUGAGAGGUUGGUCCCCCACACUGGAACUGAGACACGGUCCAGACUCCUACGGGAGGCAGCAGUGAGGAAUAUUGGACAAUGGCCGGAAGGCUGAUCCAGCCAUGCCGCGUGAAGGAAUAAGGUCCUAUGGAUUGUAAACUUCUUUUGUACGAGAGCAAUAAGUGUCACGAGUGACACGAUGAGAGUAUCGUACGAAUAAGCAUCGGCUAACUCCGUGCCAGCAGCCGCGGUAAUACGGAGGAUGCGAGCGUUAUCCGGAUUUAUUGGGUUUAAAGGGUGCGUAGGCGGGAUUUUAAGUCAGCGGUGAAACGCAAGGGCUCAACCCUUGACCUGCCGUUGAAACUGGAGUUCUUGAAUGCGGAUGCUGUGGGAGGAAUGUGUGGUGUAGCGGUGAAAUGCAUAGAUAUCACACAGAACACCGAUUGCGAAGGCAUCUCACAAAUCCGUGAUUGACGCUGAGGCACGAAAGUGUGGGGAUCAAACAGGAUUAGAUACCCUGGUAGUCCACACUGUAAA
RNAcentral lists this ribosomal RNA (802 nucleotides) under uncultured bacterium. RNAcentral's name for it is "bacterial SSU rRNA". It matches the Rfam family "Bacterial small subunit ribosomal RNA", at positions 8 to 806 of the family's 1533-position model. The record is from RNAcentral.